UACGUAGGGGGCAAGCGUUGUUCGGAUUUACUGGGCGUAAAGCGCACGUAGGCGGAUCGUUAAGUCGGGGGUGAAAUCCUGGAGCUCAACUCCAGAACUGCCUUCGAUACUGGCGAUCUCGAGUCCGGAAGAGGUGAGUGGAACUCCUAGUGUAGAGGUGGAAUUCGUAGAUAUUAGGAAGAACACCAGUGGCGAAGGCGGCUCACUGGUCCGGUACUGACGCUGAGGUGCGAAAGCGUGGGGAGCAAACAGG
RNAcentral lists this ribosomal RNA (253 nucleotides) under uncultured bacterium. RNAcentral describes it as "partial 16S ribosomal RNA". It matches the Rfam family "Bacterial small subunit ribosomal RNA", at positions 524 to 776 of the family's 1533-position model. The record is from RNAcentral.